AACGCACAUUGCGCCCGCCAGUAUUCUGGCGGGCAUGCCUGUUCGAGCGUCAUUUCAACCAUCAAGCCCCGGGCUUGUGUUGGGGACCUGCGGCUGCCCGCAGGCCCUGAAAACCAGUGGCGGGCUCGCUAGUCACACCGAGCGUAGUAGCAUAACCUCGCUCCGGGCGUGCUGCGGGACCCUGCCGUUAAACGCAACAAACCCCCAAAGGUUGACCUCGGAUCAGGUAGGAAGACCCGCUGAACUUAA
Molecule: unclassified non-coding RNA, 249 nt
Filed under: uncultured Sordariales
Lineage: Eukaryota; Fungi; Ascomycota; Sordariomycetes; Sordariales
Description: sequence contains 5.8S rRNA gene, ITS2, 28S rRNA gene
Rfam family: 5.8S ribosomal RNA (bases 1-52)
Source: RNAcentral